This is a long non-coding RNA of Drosophila mojavensis, 2247 nucleotides long. RefSeq lists it as uncharacterized. The transcript is spliced from 2 exons. The record is from RefSeq and is a predicted model, not a curated record. Lineage: Eukaryota; Metazoa; Arthropoda; Insecta; Diptera; Drosophilidae.
CAUACUUUUAACAAAACCAUUAUACCCUGAUUUCCCAUUUUCAAUGGGUUCAGGGUAUAAAAAAAAGAAAUAACAACGAAGGAGCACAACGAUAGUCAUAGCGGUAUGAGUGAACGGAGCCAACAUGUUAUGUAAAUGAAAGCAUUGAGGAAACGUUCCACCAGGGCACCACACAUAACUACACACUUCACUCCACACUGAGCAAAAUAAACUAAGAUUAUUUUUAAGUAAUCAUAUUUAAUAUACAUACACUCACACUUAAGAAAAUUUUACAACGGUAUACAAACACACAUACUUACUUAUACAACAAUUAACCCAAUUAAUGUCGACUAUAGGUAAAGUUAAGAAACUUAUCCCAAGCACUAGAAGUAGGACUAGAAUUAGCAGUAGCCUAACGGACAUUAGGGAAACCCGGACUGUAGCGAGAACUGAGGACAUUACUCCAAUGACAUCUACUUCGAGCUCUCCACCACCCAGUCAGAUCCCCAAUAUGAAUAAUCACGUGGACUGUUUGAAUACACUAAAAAUUCCUGACGCUAUUCGUUUCUUGCCAACUUAUGAUGGCAAUUCAAAGACCCUCAGUGAAUUUAUCACUAACGUUGAAGAAAUACUUCUCCUCAUUAGAGGAACCGACCAGACUCCAUACGGCCAAAUGCUAUUAAGAGCUAUUAGAAACAAAAUUGAGGGAAAAGCUAUGGAAGCUAUUAUAGAGGAAGGAGCUAGCCUUAAUUGGGACUAAAUAAAGGAUGCUCUAAUCCUACAUUGUUCCGAUAAGAGAGAUGAACUUAAUGUAUGAGCUACAUACGUUGGUUCAAAGCUCACUACCACUUCGUACUUUGUACGAAAAGGUAUGUGAAAUUAAGAUCGCCUUGUUUAGAUUGACAGAUACAAAAGAGAUAGAACCAACACUAAUCAAGACUAAGAAAAAUCUAUUUGCCGACAUUUGUCUGAACUCAUUCCUAUCAGGUAUUAAGGGUCCCUUAGGUACAGCAGUCAGGGCAAUGAAACCCACAAACCUUGGAGAAGCUCUACAAUGGGCUUUGAAAGAGCGUGAAAUUUACCUCACCCAGAACACACACAAGACACAAGGCCACAACCGUAGCAUCGAAGAUUCAAAACCUAGCACUUCUAGACAAGGGAAUUACCAGGGAUAUAGACAACGUGCAAACUGAAGCUCAAUUACAUAACUACAAUGACCAGCCAAACUUUCAGGUAAAAGCCUCCAAGAACAAUCAGGAUACUUAAUAAAUAGAUAUUUAGGACCUCCCCUCCCAUACAUACAACUAUCAUUGAUACCCAACCAACCCCCAACGAAAUAAAUUAACCGCUAGAUUUUCUAAACAUAAAAUAUUAGUAGAUCAGGGCAUAACCCUUCUAACAGCAAAGUACCAAAAGAUACAUAAGUCCAAAAUCAGGAAGAGACUAAGAAAAAUAAAUUAAAUAUAUAACCUCUUACAGGUGCCACCACAUAAACGCUCAAUUACUAAACAUUCAACAUCUAACGGACAAUGAUAAGAUGGCACAAAUUAAUCUCGGUAACGCAAAAAUCGUAAUUUCACACAAAUACCUAAUUCAUAAAAUUAACCUACAAGAUUCUAUUGACAAUGUAAACAAAUUUGAAAUAGCAUUAAAUGAUCUUAAAGACGCUAAAUUCUCGGGAGAAAUUAUUAACUCCGUAAAAACCAAAUUAACACAAGUAAAACAUAAAAUUAACGCAAUAGUACCAAAGAUCAGAAAUAGAAGAGGGUUAAUUAACGGACUAGGAAGCGUAUAAUAAUAACGGGUAACAUGGACGCCACGGACGAAAUAACCAUUACAAACAAAUUCAACAAAUUAGAAGAGAACGAAAGAAAUAUAAUUAAAAACAUUAAUCAACAAAAUAUCAUUAAUAACGACAUAGCAAUAAGAUUCAAAAACAUUACUGACCAUAUAAAUAUGGAACAGGAAAACAUAAACUUAUUCAUUAAGAACUAUAAAAAUAACAUUUUUAAAUCAUUGAACGAAGAACACAAUGAAAUUCAUCUUUUACAAUACAUAUCUAGAAUCAAUUUCAAUAUCGACAUUUUGUACAACCAUAUUAAUAAUAUAGCAGAAAGCAUCCUAUUAACGAAACUAAAUGUAAUACCUAAAUUUAUCUUAACAGAAAGAGAGAUGCUCAUAAUUAAACAAAUAAUUGAUGAACAAAAUUGUCCAACUAACUCAGAAGAACAUCUGUAUAGACUAUUAACUUUAGAUACAAUAAUUAAA